AAGAAGUAAGGCCCCUUAUAGAUGAUAAGGUAGAUAGGCCAGAUGUGGAAGUGGAGUAAUCCAUGGAGCUGACUGGUACUAAUAGGCCGAGCACUUGACUUAU
Molecule: ribosomal RNA, 103 nt
Filed under: Sporomusa acidovorans
Lineage: Bacteria; Bacillati; Bacillota; Negativicutes; Selenomonadales; Sporomusaceae
Description: 23S rRNA. Bacterial LSU
Rfam family: Bacterial large subunit ribosomal RNA
Source: RNAcentral